RNAcentral lists this transfer RNA (97 nucleotides) under Paractinoplanes rishiriensis. RNAcentral describes it as "Actinoplanes rishiriensis tRNA-Arg". Lineage: Bacteria; Bacillati; Actinomycetota; Actinomycetes; Micromonosporales; Micromonosporaceae. The record is from RNAcentral.
CGUCCAGGUGGUCGGCGGCCGGGUGGCCACCGGUUCCGAGCUGGCGUGGCUGUGACCACGACGGCACCGCCCCCGGUCCGGGUCUGGCCGUUCGUCC